AAUGAACGCUGGCGGCAUGCCUUACACAUGCAAGUCGAACGGCAGCAUGACCUAGCUUGCUAGGUUGAUGGCGAGUGGCGAACGGGUGAGUAAUGCAUCGGAAUGUGCCUUUUAGUGGGGGAUAACGUAGCGAAAGUUACGCUAAUACCGCAUAUUCUCUGAGGAGGAAAGCAGGGGACCUUCGGGCCUUGCGCUAGAAGAGCGGCCGAUGUCGGAUUAGCUAGUUGGUGAGGUAAGGGCUCACCAAGGCAACGAUCCGUAGCGGGUCUGAGAGGAUGAUCCGCCACACUGGGACUGAGACACGGCCCAGACUCCUACGGGAGGCAGCAGUGGGGAAUUUUGGACAAUGGGCGCAAGCCUGAUCCAGCCAUGCCGCGUGAGUGAAGAAGGCCUUCGGGUUGUAAAGCUCUUUCGGCUGGGAAGAAAUCGCACCCUCUAAUACAGGGUGUGGAUGACGGUACCAGCAUAAGAAGCACCGGCUAACUACGUG
Molecule: ribosomal RNA, 490 nt
Filed under: uncultured bacterium
Lineage: Bacteria
Description: partial 16S ribosomal RNA
Rfam family: Bacterial small subunit ribosomal RNA
Source: RNAcentral